Rhinichthys klamathensis goyatoka is the source of this 299-nucleotide long non-coding RNA. RefSeq lists it as uncharacterized. NCBI's taxonomy places the organism in Eukaryota, Metazoa, Chordata, Actinopteri, Cypriniformes, Leuciscidae. The record is from RefSeq and is a predicted model, not a curated record. The transcript is spliced from 2 exons.
AAAAACAGUGGUGGAAAAGUUAGUCACUGUUGCCACCUAGUGGAUAAAACAUGAGCUGAAAAUUAAUAAAGGAUUUCAUUACAGAACUGAUGCUGGGUUCCCACAAUUUAUGACCAAUGAAUUUGUGAUUUGAAAUUACUUUUCACCAUCUGUGACCAUCGUAUACAUAUACACUACCCUUUAGAACAGUUACUUAAAAUUACACAAUUGAUCAAAUAUUUGGGGUCCGCAAGUUUUUGUUUUGAAAGCAAUUAAUCCUUUUAUUCAGCAAAUAUGCAUUACAUUGAUCAAAAGUGACA